UGGGGAAUAUUGCACAAUGGGGGAAACCCUGAUGCAGCGACGCCGCGUGAGCGAAGAAGGUUUUCGAAUCGUAAAGCUCUGUCCUAUGAGAAGAUAAUGACGGUAUCAUAGGAGGAAGCCCCGGCUAAAUACGUGCCAGCAGCCGCGGUAAUACGUAGGGUGCGAGCGUUGUCCGGAAUUACUGGGCGUAAAGAGCUCGUAGGCGGUUUGUCACGUCGUCUGUGAAAUCCUAGGGCUUAACCCUGGACGUGCAGGCGAUACGGGCUGACUUGAGUACUACAGGGGAGACUGGAAUUUCUGGUGUAGCGGUGGAAUGCACAGAUAUCAGGAAGAACACCGAUGGCGAAGGCAGGUCUCUGGGUAGUAACUGACGCUGAGGAGCGAAAGCAUGGGGAGCGAACAGG
This 404-nucleotide ribosomal RNA is filed under the name Verrucomicrobiota bacterium. RNAcentral's name for it is "Verrucomicrobia bacterium partial 16S ribosomal RNA". It matches the Rfam family "Bacterial small subunit ribosomal RNA", at positions 355 to 776 of the family's 1533-position model. The record is from RNAcentral. Lineage: Bacteria; Pseudomonadati; Verrucomicrobiota.